UGUCUUCCCGACCUCCAGAUCGCAGGCCGGCCACCGGAGUAACCGAGCGAGCUCACCUCCGCGGCGGUCCUUCCCGCGGUCGGCGAGCUCCAUCCGCAGUCUCCUCCCUUGCUCCACCGUCGAGUUUGAGAACAUCGUUCCGUUCUUUGGCGCGGCAAGCCGGAGAACGGAGAGGAGAGCGGCCGGCGGCCACCGAAGACCGAGGCGGAUCUAGCAGGCGGCGUCGCUCCGGUGACACCCGCAGAAACCAAUCGGAAGGGUGAGGAGGCGCCACGCUGGCAACUCACUCGCAGUCGGCUUUUGGACGGAUAGAGGCAGCGAAGGCAUCUGAUCCAGAUACCAGGUGCUUCGCUCAUUCUGCAAGUAAAGGUAACGUCAGUACUACUGUCAGAUUAGAAACAGAUUAGAAGGAAGGUACUUGACAGAUUAAAAGAGAUUCUUCUUCCCUCAUCACGUGCAUAUAUCCUCAAACACUUUUGUGUGCAGGAGUGGAGUAAUAGAGUUGGGGUGGAAUAACAGCGCAGUGCUUCACAUGUCGGCAUUGUCAGGCGGCCGGAGAACGGUCCUCAUAACUCAAGGCUACCGGCGACGCGUUUCAACAAGAUAGUGUCACCACUGCAAACUCAUUUUGGCACUUCCAGUUGGGUGCAUGAUGGUAGCUGCACGAUGAGAACGGCCUCUAUCUAGAGGGUAUACAUACGUUCAAGGCUUUGAGGAAGCAUAUCACAAGCAAUGUCUGAAGUCGUCCCAGGCAGCUCCUGAACACACUUGUCUACAUGAAUUCUUGCAGGAUGAGCAUCACUCCAUCUUCUUCUGUCGAUUACUGGGGCGUCUUGGCGGAGUGCGUGGCUGCUGCUGCUGUCAUCUUUGAUUUUGGUGAAUUUACUCGUCGCUGUCACUGAAUAACAGAGGUGCUACGGUACAGACCUGGUGAAUAACAAACUAUGUAUACUAGUACUAGAGAAGAUUCAGAAACACGGCAAGAUUCAGAAACCCAAGGCAUCUACAGUUUGGCCCUUCAACCAAGCAUCCAGCUUGCUUGCUACAGAAGCUCUCGUUGACAAACGGUGUGGAGCUUUUUUUCUGGGCUGGGCAAGAAUCGGUCACAGGGGGCCAAUGCAAAGUUGCUUGGGACCUGGUGUGCGGCCCCUUCUCUCAUGGAGGUCUUGGGUUCACUUCUCUGAAGCAUAUGAACCUAUGCCUCCUCCUUCAACACCUACCAAAGCUUCACGCCACCGACACAACCCAGGGCUCUCCUUACUUGGGCUCCAGAUAUGGCUGGUCACCCUCCAAUGACCUUGGGAUGACAAAUCCAUUGCACACUCCUA
Molecule: long non-coding RNA, 1328 nt
Organism: Triticum dicoccoides
Lineage: Eukaryota; Viridiplantae; Streptophyta; Magnoliopsida; Poales; Poaceae
Exons: 3
Source: RefSeq, a predicted model, not a curated record